Molecule: ribosomal RNA, 305 nt
Filed under: uncultured bacterium
Lineage: Bacteria
Description: bacterial SSU rRNA
Rfam family: Bacterial small subunit ribosomal RNA
Source: RNAcentral
UAUGCCUACGGGGGGCAGCAGUGGGGAAUAUUGCGCAAUGGGGGAAACCCUGACGCAGCAACGCCGCGUGAGUGAAGAAGGCCUUCGGGUUGUAAAGCUCUUUAAUCAGGGACGAAGAAUGACGGUACCUGAAGAAUAAGCUCCGGCUAACUACGUGCCAGCAGCCGCGGUAAUACGUAGGGGGCAAGCGUUAUCCGGAUUUACUGGGUGUAAAGGGAGCGUAGGCGGCGAUGCAAGUCAGAAGUGAAAGCCCGGGGCUCAACUCCGGGACUGCUUUUGAAACUGUGUUGCUAGAUUGCAGGAGA